RNAcentral lists this ribosomal RNA (171 nucleotides) under Triticum aestivum (bread wheat). RNAcentral describes it as "partial small subunit ribosomal RNA". Lineage: Eukaryota; Viridiplantae; Streptophyta; Magnoliopsida; Poales; Poaceae. The record is from RNAcentral.
AUGGCGCGCUGGGAAGGUUACAGUUUUGAAGACGCGGUACUAAUUAGCGAACGUUUGGUAGAUGAAGAUAUUUAUACCUCUUUUCACAUCCGGAAAUAUGAAAUUCAGACAGAUACGACAAGCCAGGGCGGAACAUUUACUCCGCAAUUUGGACAGAAAUGGAGUUGUUAG